CCCUUAGAUGUUCUGGGCCGCACGCGUGCUACACUGAGUGGAUCAGCGGGUCAGGUUGCGCGAAAGUGUUUCCUAAUCUUGAAAUCCGCUCGUGAUGGGGAUUGACGGUUGCAAUUUUCCGUCAUGAACGAGGAAUACCUUGUAAGCGCGGGUCAUCAUCCCGCGCUGAAUACGUCCCUGCCCUUUGUACACACCGCCCGUCGCUCCUACCGAUUGAGUGGUCCGGUGAGGCUUUGGGAUCUGAGCGGAAAGAGCGUUUCGCUGUCUCUGCUCGGAAAACUCAGUCGAACCUUAUCAUUUAGAGGAAGGAGAAGUCGUAACA
This 322-nucleotide ribosomal RNA is filed under the name uncultured eukaryote. RNAcentral's name for it is "partial 18S ribosomal RNA". It matches the Rfam family "Eukaryotic small subunit ribosomal RNA", at positions 1470 to 1796 of the family's 1831-position model. The record is from RNAcentral.